Molecule: non-coding RNA, 959 nt
Organism: Megalobrama amblycephala (Wuchang bream)
Lineage: Eukaryota; Metazoa; Chordata; Actinopteri; Cypriniformes; Xenocyprididae
Source: the annotation of a RefSeq genome assembly
AAGAAGUUCUUAUAUUAGUAGAUCCUGUAAUAUACGAUAUAGUUAACAUAUUCUGUGGCUGAAAGAGGAAGAAAGAUCAUACAGAUCAGUUUCAUGAGGGCAUAAAUGUGCAUAUGUGUGAGCUCAACACUGAAAUGUUUGUAUAUAAAAACAAAUGUCAACAGGAACUCAAACACAAACAGCACACUUUAAAGCAAAUGGACAAAACAUGCUGUUCUGAGCUCCAACAUUAGGGGGCAACAUAAGCUCACAAGCUAUGCUUUAUUCACAUUAGACAUCCACCUGAUGUCUAAAUAAAACACUGCUCACCAUUUGAUUUUAGCGUGUCCAUGUUUCACUAACCACACCCACAUUAUUAAUACACAACAGAACUUCACUCAGUCUCAGUGAACAAACACUCUUUAAAGUGGACUUCAGUUAAGAUGGAGGAGAGGCAAAUGCUGCUCAUGAUGCUCAUCACAGUUUCAGGUGUAUUUGCAGAUAAAAUUGGACCAAAAGAUGGAAAUACUAAUGUAAUCAAAGAAGAAGGAGAGUCUGUGACACUGAGCUGCACAUAUGAAACUAACAGCAAUGAUAUUUAUCUUUACUGGUACAGACAGUAUCCAAACAGUGAACCAAAAUAUUUACUGUAUAAAGGAGCUCGAUCAUACAGCAGGCAAAAUAUACCAGCCGGUUUUCAGUCGAAAACAUCCCAAUCAUCCACUGAACUCACUAUUAACAGUGUGACUCUGUCAGAUUCAGCUCUCUAUUAUUGUGCUCUAAGAGUUGACGCCCAGUGAUACAAAAUGCCUGAGAAGCUUUACAAAAACUCAUACAAAAUUAAUGCUUUGAAGUGUCUUUAAUCAAUCUGUAUCAUGUUACUGUAAACCACAAACAGUGAAUGUGGUAACAGCUGUGAAAUUGGGAGGUUACAUAAGGACAUGUGAAUAAAAUUCAGCAUUUCUACAUGGUUCUCACAU